CUGCGAUGCCUACCGGGCGUGCGAGCGUGGCCCGGCACACUGGGACUGAGACACUGCCCAGACUCCUACGGGAGGCUGCAGUCGAGAAUCUUCGGCAAUGGGCGCAAGCCUGACCGAGCGACGCCGCGUGGAGGAUGAAGGCCUUCGGGUUGUAAACUCCUGUCGAGGGGGAGGAAGGCGCAAGCUUGACCGAUCCCUGGAGGAAGCACGGGCUAAGUUCGUGCCAGCAGCCGCGGUAAGACGAACCGUGCGAACGUUAUUCGGAAUCACUGGGCUUAAAGCGCGUGUAGGCGGGCCGCCGCGUCGGCUGCUGAAAUCCCCCGGCUCAACCGGGGAACGGGCACCGAUACGGGCGGCCUCGAGGGGGGUAGGGGGACCUGGAACUUCCGGUGGAGCGGUGAAAUGCGUUGAGAUCGGAAGGAACGCCCGUGGCGAAAGCGAGGUCCUGGACCCUUUCUGACGCUGAGACGCGAAAGCCAGGGGAGCGAACGGGAUUAGAUACCCCGGUAGUCCUGGCCGUAAACGAUGAACACUGGGUAGGGGGCUCGCCGAUGGGCUCCCUGCCGUAGGGAAACCGUGAAGUGUUCCGCCUGGGGAGUAUGG
Molecule: ribosomal RNA, 603 nt
Filed under: uncultured bacterium
Lineage: Bacteria
Description: bacterial SSU rRNA
Rfam family: Bacterial small subunit ribosomal RNA
Source: RNAcentral